This is an RNA transcript of Suncus etruscus (white-toothed pygmy shrew), 1377 nucleotides long. It is a transcript of the gene named mitogen-activated protein kinase 11, with no coding region annotated. The record is from RefSeq and is a predicted model, not a curated record. The transcript is spliced from 12 exons. Lineage: Eukaryota; Metazoa; Chordata; Mammalia; Eulipotyphla; Soricidae.
GCGGCCGCUCGCGACAUGUCGGGCCCCCGGGCGGGCUUCUACCGGCGGGAGCUGAACCAGACGCUCUGGGAGGUUCCGCUGCGGCUGCAGAGGCUGCGGCCCGUGGGCUCGGGCGCCUACGGCUCCGUGUGCUCGGCCUAUGACGCGCAGCUGCGCCAGAAAGUGGCCGUGAAGAAGCUGUCGCGCCCCUUCCAGUCGCUGGUCCACGCGCGGAGGACCUACCGCGAGCUGCGCCUGCUCCAGCACCUCAAGCACGAGAAUGUCAUCGCGCUCUUGGACGUCUUCACCCCGGCCACCUCCAUCAAGGACUUCAGCGAAGUGUACCUGGUCACCACCCUGAUGGGCGCCGACCUGAACAGCAUCGUCAAGUGCCAAGCGCUGAGCGAGGAGCACGUCCAGUUCCUGGUGUACCAGCUGCUCCGCGGGCUGAAGUACAUCCACUCGGCCGGCAUCAUCCACCGGGACCUGAAGCCCAGCAACGUGGCGGUGAACGAGGACUGCGAGCUGAAGAUCCUGGACUUCGGGCUGGCACGCCAAGCCGACGAGGAGAUGACAGGCUACGUGGCCACGCGCUGGUACCGGGCCCCGGAGAUUAUGUUGAACUGGAUGCACUACAACCAGACAGCCCUCUGCUCGUCUUUGGGGCUGGGCAUCCCUGGGGUUGCCAACCAGUCUGAGAGGCCCCUCUCCAACAGUGGACAUCUGGUCCGUGGGCUGCAUCAUGGCCGAGCUGCUGCAGGGGAAGGUGCUUUUUCCGGGGAGCGACUAUAUCGACCAGCUCAAGCGUAUCAUGGAGGUGGUGGGCACACCCAGCCCCGAGGUUCUGGCGAAGAUUUCCUCAGAGCACGCCCGGACCUAUAUCCAGUCCCUGCCCCCGAUGCCCCAGAAGGACCUCAAGAGCAUCUUCCGGGGUGCCAGCCCCCUGGCUGUGGACCUCUUGGGCAGGAUGCUGGUACUGGACAGCGAUCAGAGGGUCAGCGCGGCCGAGGCCCUGGCCCACGCCUACUUCAGCCAAUACCACGACCCCGAUGAUGAGCCGGAGGCCGAACCCUAUGACCAGAGCGUGGAGGCCGCAGAGCACACGCUGGAGCAGUGGAAGGAGCUCACCUACCAGGCGGUGCUCAGUUUCAAGCCUCCAGAGCCAGCCCAGCCGCCAGGCAGCCUGCAGCAGUGAGGUGGAGCAGCAGAGAACUUUGUGCGAUGGGCCCACGCCGCGUCCUCGCCCCGCGGGGCCUGCCUGCAGCUCCAGCCCCCAGAGUGGAGGUGUCCUGGACUUGCCCGUGCUGUGGGCGCUGCCAAGGGGGACCCAGCUGUGUAGGGGCUGUGCAUGGGGAGCAGGCGUCUCCAGAGCUCAAUCCCAGAUGGGGGGGGGGGCUG